Molecule: long non-coding RNA, 1705 nt
Organism: Syngnathoides biaculeatus (alligator pipefish)
Lineage: Eukaryota; Metazoa; Chordata; Actinopteri; Syngnathiformes; Syngnathidae
Exons: 3
Source: RefSeq, a predicted model, not a curated record
CGGGCAGCAGCGGGAGCAGGGACAAUAGCCGUCUGUCAUGAUGGCUGGACAACUCCCAGUAUUGACUCCCUCCCAUUCAGGGCUGGCCUCAAUGGGUCGGAAAUAAUGACUUCUUUUCCUCUCCUUCCUUCCUUCAGACACUUGAGCACAACUGAGAGACUCGGUGAGGUAAACGCCAGUCGUGUGGAAUCAUCAAUCACAGGAGAGGUGCACACGCGUGCACGUGCGUGGACCGUCGACUCAGUGAAAGCUCAAAUCGAGCAUGUAAAAGUGCAACAGAUAAUGCAACAACUGAAACUUGAUAAUGAAUAAUGAAAUGUUAAUGAAAAUACAUUCUGAAAUUCCAGGUUCUGCUUGUAUGGGGUUUCUCUGGGUACUCAGCUUUCCUCUCACAUUCUAAAAACAUGCAUGUUUGCUUCAUUAUCACUCGCUUCGAUUGUCCACAGGAAUGUCCGAAUGAGCGUGAACAUUGGGUGCCGACCAGUCUGGGGCGGACCCCAUCUCUCGCUAAAAGGGGGCUGGGAUAGUCUCCAGCUCUCCUGUGACCCUAAUGAGGACAAGCACUAAGAAAUUGUUGGAUGGAUCAUGACAAAGCACAUCUGACUCACUGUUCUGAGGACUUGGGUUCACAUUCCAGCCCCGCUUGUGUGGGAACCCAAGCACACGGAGAAUACCCACGCAGGGACGGGGAGAACAUCCAAAUGCCACACAGGCGGGGCCGGGAUUGAACUCGGGUCCUCAGAACUGUGAGGCCAACGCUGUACAGCUGCGUCACCGUGCCCGCUCAAGAAUAAAUAAAAUCGACAAUAUGUCACAAGGGCGAUAUUUAACAGUACACACUUUGGCGGUGCUGCAGGAAGUAAGUUAAGCGAGAAGAUAAUUCCUCUGACACUUUGUUAUGCAUUGUCAUUUCAUGUCUUUUUGCAGUGAAGGAAUGGAUGUUUGCUUUUUUUAAGGGUCCAAAUGGCUCCGUUAUGGUCCAGGUUUGUAUGGGAGAAAAAAAUUGUUUACUUGCGAGUGGUGAUUCUAUUUAGGCAUAUACUGUACUUAAAAAAAAAGCAUUUGGGCGGUGGUUCCCGACGCUGAAGCCGAAGUUCUUCUCAAACAUGCUGUUCUUCUUUCUUAGCCUGGGAACAGUUUGGAGGAGGGGGCUGACUUUUUUUUUUUUUUGCUUAUGAAUUCCUAUUCAGCCCCCCUGACAUAAACCCACUGCCCCGCAGAUUCCCACGUACCCUUUCCAGGAUGUAUCACAUCAGAUUUAGUUGAAAGGGGACUCUCGUUUUGCAUCUCACCCACAACGAACUUUUAGAGGCUCCUCCAUAAACAAUAUUUUUUCCCCAAGUUGCUUAUUUUUGUUUUUUUAAAUCUUUGUGGAAUCAAUGUUGCACUGCAUGUGCCACACCUUUUGCUCUCUGGCAACACUCAUAACUCACCGACCUUGGCUGAACAAUGCAUUUGGUUUAAGAACGCGCUCUCCCUUAACUCAUAAGUGGUGCGCUUUACUGCAGAGGAAACAAACGCAUCAGCACGCCUGCAUAAACUCCUUCGAAAACAACACAUCAUAUUUUUGUGUGCAGAGCUGCACAACACAAAGCCCAAACAACAUGACAUCAGAGGUGGGUCGGAGGGAGGAGGAUGUCCUAUCAGAGUUGGCCCCAUAUUUCCAUUAAAACACAAUGAGACAUUGUCCUUUUUGAAAACAUGA